AAGAAAGGUAUUGAUAAGAGUGAAAAUUCUAUCACAAGUCAUUUUACUAGCAUUGAAGACAUUUUUGAAGGAUAUGUCAUGUUGUAGUACAGAGUUUCAUUAUAGUUGAAAACAAGAAGUGAUUAGCAGUGCCUAAAAAAACAGAUUUUGGAGAAAGACUUAAUCAGACCAAUAUUUCAACUUGGUUCAGUGCUAUCCAAAAUGCUAGAAACUGUCAUAUGUAAAUUAAUUUAUUCUAACCUUAUAUUUAUGAACAUUUUAUAGCAGGAGAUAUAUUUUGCAGUGUCAAUACACAAAGGUUCUGGUUAACAAUCAGCUGGACAGGUUCAUUCAGUAGUAGGUUUAGAAGUACGGACUCAUUCAGUGUACAUCCCUUCAUUUCAGAUUUCCAAAGAUGAACUGUGUCAGGCUGUUGACGUGGACGCAUGCGGAUCCUGUUCAACUAACCCUCCAGAGAUUUCCAAAGAUGAAAGGUGUCAGGCUGGUGACGUGGAUACAUGCGGAUCCUGUUCAACCAACCCUCCAGAGAUUUCCAUAGAAGAACCGUGUCAGGCUGGUCAUGUGGAUGCGUACAGAUCCUGUUCAACCAACCCUCCAGAGAUUUCCAAAGAUGAGCUGUGUCAGGCUGGUGAGGUAGAUGCAUGCAGAACCUGUUCAACCAACCCUGCAGAGCACAAAGUAAACACAGAGAUGGUAAGGGGAAAGAACUCAACAGAAAACUAAAACGGAAGGACAUAGAGCCCCGCAGAAAAAUGAACACAAAUAAAAAUUCUGCAUCUCUGGAAAGUGCUAGGAGAGCAAAAAAGCAUCCAUGGUCUCCCGUAGAGGUUGCUGCGGUCAUGAGGCACUUUGGUGAACACAUCAAGAAAGGACAACUGGCCACUAUGAUAGAAUGCCAGCAAUGCAAAAAGGCUGAGGAUCCUGCUCUAGCUAGUUGUGAUAUCCAAAACAUAAGAGAUUUUGUGAGAAAUCAGGGUGUAACAUUGAAAGUACUUUCAAUAAAUUAAUCCAGUAUUUCUACUGAUACUAUGAGUAAGUUCAUCUUGUUCACACAAUUUGUUUUAUCUUUUUGAUUUAACAAUAGACCUGUAAUUCAUUUAAUUUUGGCAUUCACAGAUUUUCCUUUAUGUUCACAAAUAGAAUUGUUGCUCUAGUUCUUAGAGCAGAAGGUGCUGUAAAUGCAGUCCACUUUCUGCGUAGUUAUAUUCCAUAUUUCCAUGUUUGGACUUAAUACAAAUACAUUUCAUGUUUGUGUAUGCCGUGGUCCUGAUAAAUAAAGUUGGCCCUGACAAUUACUGUUGGUGUCAUGGGCGGAGCCAAGCACC
This is a long non-coding RNA of Xiphophorus couchianus (Monterrey platyfish), 1325 nucleotides long. RefSeq lists it as uncharacterized. The transcript has 6 exons. The record is from RefSeq and is a predicted model, not a curated record. NCBI's taxonomy places the organism in Eukaryota, Metazoa, Chordata, Actinopteri, Cyprinodontiformes, Poeciliidae.